This 455-nucleotide long non-coding RNA is filed under the name Monodelphis domestica (gray short-tailed opossum). RNAcentral's name for it is "lncRNA (ENSMODG00000050291.1)". Lineage: Eukaryota; Metazoa; Chordata; Mammalia; Didelphimorphia; Didelphidae. The record is from RNAcentral.
AGCCAGCAGCUGAACUGUGGUGGAGAAGCUCCUGAUCUAGACUGAGAGUCCUUUGUGGCUUCUGGAGCUGGGGGAGAAACUGAUAUAGACUUCCGGUUAAGAUGGCAGUUUAGAAGCAGCGAAAGUUCAGACCUUUGAAAUCCUUCCUUACCGAUCGCAAACUGAGUGCUCCUAGGACACCGAAAUUCAAGCUGAACAACAGGACAGACCCGGGAAACCCUUCUCCUGAACCUGGAUCAAAAGAGCUACUGGACUUAUUUUACAUUUCCUUCUACAGCUCCUGAAGAAAUUGAAGAAAGCAGGAUUCAGCAAUUCACCAAGAGUCAAACACAUUAAAAAUAUUUGAUGUAAAAUUUGAACUCAGGAAGAUGAGUUUUCCUGACUUCUGGCCCAGUGUUCUGUCUACUCUGCCACCCACCUGCCCAGAAAGAUACUUACAUUAUAAAAAAUAAGGG